CAAAGGGAAAGGAGAUAGCUAGAGAUUAGAAGAGGAAAAGAAAGGAGGAAUUCAAGAAAGGUUGUAGAUAAAAUAGGGCAACAGAAGUUAUCAGAGAUCUACAUCAGAUAUCAAGGCCAUCAUCAUAGCUGGUUCUUUUGAGUCUCUGAGUCAUAGUACAGUUUUAUUUUGGCAUGUACAUAUUAAAUAGAGUGAGUUGUGAAGGUUAUGUAA
Manihot esculenta (cassava) is the source of this 213-nucleotide long non-coding RNA. RefSeq lists it as uncharacterized. Lineage: Eukaryota; Viridiplantae; Streptophyta; Magnoliopsida; Malpighiales; Euphorbiaceae. The transcript has 2 exons. The record is from RefSeq and is a predicted model, not a curated record.